Molecule: long non-coding RNA, 1542 nt
Organism: Anser cygnoides (Swan goose)
Lineage: Eukaryota; Metazoa; Chordata; Aves; Anseriformes; Anatidae
Source: Ensembl
AACCUGAGUGUUCAGCCCACUGUAGCUGAGAUCUCCAGGCAUUUGAGCACCUCCCCAUGCAGCUACGUGGAUGUGAUGGAAUAGCAGGAACCGAAAUGCCACCUCAAUAUUCAAGGGUGAGGAGCUUCCCGGCUGGCCUGGAGCUCGGGGGACCCAAAUUCCUGCAGGGAACUGCUUCCAGCGGCUGCGCCUCUCUGCGUGGGCACCCCUGCAUUAGGUGUGACUUGGGGACUCGUUUUCUCUGCUUUGUGGAUGGCGUCCAGGCUGCUCUCUGCAGCAAAGGGACCAUCCAGCUGGAGAACCUCUGCAAGGAGCCUUCUGCAAACACCUCGGCAGGAUGCUUCCUGCCAGCGCGCUGCCCAGAAACUGCACAAUCACGCCUGCCUCCACAGCACCGCCAGCCAGAGAUUUCAAGGGAGCUGACUUCUCUUGCAAUGGUGCUUGAGCAACUGCCUGACUCCAAAAGCAGCCCUUUGAGCCUGAGUUCCCUGGGUUCCUGUGCUCACCAGUGGAGGAGACAGCUUGGGGAGAUGUGGGGCUGAAUGUAAAAGGGAUGCAUGUGUGUGCAUGCUGCCGUGUGCGCCCCACAUCACAGCCGGGUCUGGCUGCAGACCUUGUGCUUGCAUUUUUUGUGCUGACAGCACAGAGAGGUGCAGGUAGCGUUUGUGUGUCUGCAUUGAUCUGUUCCCAGCCCUUAAUGGUGGCUUCCUGCACCACUUUGCCAUGUUCCUGAUCCUCCUCCAUCCGUCUGUACCGUCCCACCUCACCAGUGUCACCGUGUUGAUGUGUGCAUACAGCUGGGUGCGGACCCGUGGUCUGGGCAUGUUCAAUACCUGCCUGCCCCAGCAGCCAGGGCCAGGUCUUCACUCUGCUGCUGGCAGCACAGGGGGAAGGCUGGGACCCAUUUGGGGCAGCAUGCCUGCAGCCUGCUUUGUGAUCAAGCAGCCGGAGGCAAGAUUUUGUGGGAUUAGCAAAACCCCCCGGCACAGCCAGCUUGCAAAACCUCAGCACUCGAAUGUCAUCUGGGAUCAGGUUCUGCUGGGGCAGAAUAUGACUUUUCAUCUCAACUUUCACUGGGCCAGCCCUUUUUGCAGAGCCUGGCCAGGGGAAGUGGGAGGAGGUGAGGAUGGGGCAGGCUGCCCUGCAUACCCUGCUCCUUCCUGGGGUGCCUUGGACCCCAAACACUGAGGGCGAGCAGCUCCUUGUGCUGCUGUCACCUCCACAUUGCCCAAGAGCAGGGAAGAAGCAUUUUGCCAGGCUGCUUUCUGGGUCCAAAGACAUUUUGCAUGUGCAGAAGCAGAUGUGUUUAGCCCCUUCCCAUCCGUGUGGUGGUGGGAGGCUGCAUGGGAUGAGUCUUUGUUUGCCCCACCAGCUAAAACACAAGGCGGGUGGGUGGCCAGGGGCAUCACAGAGAGCCCCAUCCUCACCCCCUGCAGGGAGGAGAGCUGUGCCAGGGGGCUGUGGAGACCUGGUGCAGGGACCCUGACUUCUACACAUUAGGGGUGGGGGAUCUCUGCUCUUCCCCAGCCCAGGCUGAGCACC